CUAGUACCAACUGGGUGA
This 18-nucleotide unclassified non-coding RNA is filed under the name Mus musculus (house mouse). Its description in RNAcentral is "oocyte_clustered_small_RNA5987". The record is from RNAcentral. Lineage: Eukaryota; Metazoa; Chordata; Mammalia; Rodentia; Muridae.